Molecule: non-coding RNA, 337 nt
Organism: Oncorhynchus mykiss (rainbow trout)
Lineage: Eukaryota; Metazoa; Chordata; Actinopteri; Salmoniformes; Salmonidae
Source: RefSeq, a predicted model, not a curated record
CCCAGAACAGGCAAAAUGUUCACUUCCGUUCUCAGAAUGUUUAAAAAAACGUUCAGUUUUACUGCUCAGGACGAAUGGGGAAACCUAAAAGUGGAUGGUUGCCACAGGGAUGGAUGUAAUCCAGGAGGUUCCUGUUGCCGUGGUCUCAACGUAGCGGUGGAUCGCCACGUAGAAAACUCUGAAGGCCUUGAUCACCUCAAAGGGCUGAAAAGACAGUUGGCGGGGAGCUCACCUUGACUGACAGUUCUUUGAAAUGUCAAGCAAUGACGCAAUAAGAUCAUCUCAAGAAAAUUUGUUCAUACAAAAAUAACGCAAACAUUAAAAUUGUAUUAAACAU